Molecule: long non-coding RNA, 1142 nt
Filed under: Chrysemys picta bellii (western painted turtle)
Lineage: Eukaryota; Metazoa; Chordata; Testudines; Emydidae
Description: lncRNA (ENSCPBG00000025352.1)
Source: RNAcentral
CACAUUCCUGGCCAAUGGGAGCUGCAGAGCCAGCGCUCAGGGCGGGGCAAGGCGGUGCACAGAGCCUCCCAGGCAGUCCCUGUGCCUAGGAGUCAGAGGGACACGUUGCCACUUCUGGGAGCCGCACGGAGUCAGGUAGGGAGCCUGCCAGCCCUGACAACUGGACAUUUAACGACCGGAGCCACCAGGGUUCCUUUUUGACCAGGUGUUCCGUUCAAAAACCGGAUGCCUGGAAACCCUAUUUGAAAGGACAGAGAGCCUAGAAACCUGUUCCAGAUAGAUUCUUCUCCCAUUUUGCCCUAACACACAUUACAAACAUACCAGAAGAUAGGGAUAGAAUGAAGGUUGGUAUUGGAAAGGAACAACUAGCAAGGGGCCAAAGCCAGCUUGCCUUACUGACAAAUCAAUAGAUCUAGAGACAUUAUUUAUUAUUAUGUGUUUGUUUAUUAUAGUGACCAUGAUGUGCUAGGGACUUUCCAGACAUUUCCGUGAGCAGACGUGGGACGACACACAGCUGAUUCGCUCUCAGAAGAAAAAUAUUCAGGAAAGGAAAUUUUGUGCUGUUGAUUUGGAUGCCUGCUCCCACCCCUUCCCACCAUCUCACUUCUCUCGCCCUUCCUUCAGAAAAUGGAAGGACUGACGGAGAAAGUAUGGGCUGGAACUAUGCAAGUAGCCUAGCUCUGAGGCUAAACCUCAUUCCUCACCUGCAACAUCUGUAUACCCAACAUUCCCAAUUUCUGCAGGAGGCUCCUGGUUUAUUUGGAUGCUAUCCCAUUCCAGGACUGCCUAGAAAACAACGUACAAUGAUGCAAAACAAUUUUUCUCAUGCUGUCAUUUCUUUUUUACAAUGUUUUAUCAUUGCUGAUACGCCGUACUGUAUUGCCUGACAACCUACAUGGUGACGUCCCUCAUGGUGCUGUUUGUUGACAUCAGUGAUGCCAUUAUAUAAGGCAUCAAAUGUAUUCCUUUAAUAACUUGAAAAAACAGGAGAAAUUUUCUAGUCCUGAAGCUGGCAACCAUAUGCCCCUGUAAUUCCCAUCCUGAGCAGAUAACUCAAACCAUACCAUGCGGUAUUGUGAUAUGUCUAUUAAUUACACCUCUGCCCUGAUAUAACACGGUAAAGCAGUGCUCCGGGGGGGAGG